RNAcentral lists this long non-coding RNA (2557 nucleotides) under Nicotiana benthamiana. Its description in RNAcentral is "long non-coding RNA (NBEN_LNC033755)". Lineage: Eukaryota; Viridiplantae; Streptophyta; Magnoliopsida; Solanales; Solanaceae. The record is from RNAcentral.
UCAACAGUUACAGAAUUCCAUUGCCUAUUACACAUUUUUCAACAUCAGAAAAUUCUACAAAAAAGGAAGAAAUAAAAAAAAUCAAGCAACAAUAUUGUUGAGUCUUGAGACCCCACCAAUAUAUGUGACCCCAGAUAGCCCAAAUCUCAGGAACUUCCACUUUCAUAUUCAGUUCAUCAGCCAAGAUCAUAGUGUCUCCUCAAGAGACUUUAUUCUGAAAAUAUCAUAUACUUAAGAAAUGUUAACAUACAUAUGAAUUGAUUUACUAACUUUAAAAAGAAUAACAAAAUCUAUAUUUCAAAGACAACAAAAUCUAGAAAAUAGAGGCAUAACAGAAAAAUGAGCAAACCCUGAGAGAAAGUAUCCAGUAGAGAUGUGUAUUGCUUUGAGCAAACUUCCCUCAUUUAGUAGCUACUAUUCAAGGUAGAUGUUGAAAGGAGUACCCCUAGCCAUAAUUUUAUCAUUGCCAGAUUACUACAUGAGUUGAAGUGUCCACCGUGGGUACCAUCAUUUAGUUUUCUACCAUACAACUAAAAUGCUCGAGAUGAAACAACUGCUAUAACCAUCCUACGACAGAUGAAUCCACAUAUUGAGGACAUGCACAUUUGACCAACUGAAGCAUUAUCCUUCUUUAUAGACUUGGCCUAUAUCUAUGGAACGUUUUGAAACAAUCAAUUGUUUAGAUUUGCAUUUAAUAUUGAUUCAGCCAACUCAUCCCUCCAUGUGGUCCACUCCUGAUAUGAUUCAACAACAUUAAUGUUGUCAUGUUGAUACUCCACUUGUUCUUCCAUAUCAAGAUCUAAAGGAUCCACUUUCCAUCUCUCUACGAAUAAAGUUGUGCAUCAAACAACAAGCACUAAUGAUCCUAUUAUGAACCUUAACCGAGUACCACGAAGAGCUUCUAAGAAUUCUACUACGCCCUUUCAAGAGACCAAAUGCUCUUUCGAUAACAUUAUGAGCCCUAGCAUGCUUCAAAUUGAAAAGCUCUUCUCGACAUCGAGGAGGCAGAUUGUCACCUUGCCAAUCCCUUAACCAAUAUUUAUACCCUCUAUAAGGUGAAAGAAAAUCGUUUCCAUUUGUAUAUCCUCCAUCACACAAAUAAUAAUUUCCUAUAAUAUAAACAUAAAAUUUAGUUACUUUUAUGUAGCAUUCUUUUGUGAUUUAAUUUGAGUGUAUAAGCAUAUGUUUUGCAUACCCUCGGGGAUUUUCAAACCAUUUGUUUGCAUUAUUGCAUCUCGUAAUACACGACCAUCGUUAGCUGAUCUUGAUAUAACUUGAGUGUAUAAGAAUAUGUAUGACAUACCCUCGGUGUUUUUCAAACCAUUCGUUCGCACUAUAGCAUCUCGUAAUACGCGACCAUCAGCAGCUGAUCCUUCCCAAUCAGGUAAUACAUAAGUAAAAUUAAGAUUUCUAUCACAAACUCCCAAUACAUAGUUUUUAUUUCUCUUUUUCUUAUUCUGUAUCUUGGUUUGUACUCGGAUGGAACUCUAAUUUGAAUGAAAGUACCAUCAAGUGCACCUAGACAUCCGUAUAAAAUCAAUUAUAUAUUAUCUCAAACUAUUAGUUCCUUUUCGUAUGAUUAUAUUUUUUUUAGUUUUACAUAAAUUAAUUUUCAAAAGAAAUUUCACAUACCUUAAACCAUCUCCAUUGAUUUUCAAGCUCAUCUUCAAGCACUGGUUUGGGAUUAACAAGUAACAAUGGAGCUAGUCUGAGAACAACUCUCAAGCAUUCAUUGAAAGCUUGACUUACGCUCCAACCCGAUCUAACAUAGUCAACCUUAAUUGAUCUAUUCUUCUCGUGAUGAGCUAAAAUAUUUAAGAACAUUGCUAACUUUUUACUACUUGACAUGUUUUUACUAUCUGUUAAACCCCCAAUUUCCUUAGUUAAGAGAACUAAAGUGUGAAAGGAAUUUCUAUCCACUCUUAACUUAUCAAUACAUGCAAUAUCACUGUCAUGUAUGAUACAAUUCAAAUGAGACAUAAUUUUAUGAAUUCAAACACUCAUACGGUACCUAAUCACACGCCUAUUUCUAUGUUGUUUUCUUAUAGAAUGACCAUAAAUAAUAAGAACACUCAUACAGUACCUAAUCACACGCUUAUUUCUAUGUUGUCUUCUUAUAGAAUGACCAUAAAUAGUCAUUAAAAGAAAUAUAAAUACAACAAAAAAUUGUUGGUACAAUAUCUCUUCAAGAAUAAUAACGCAUUCAAUAUCGGACAAUAACUGAGUCCAUAAGAAAACCUAAUUUUGCCAUUACAAAAUGAAAAGAAUUAAUAUACAAAAAAUUACAAUUAGAAAAUGAAAUAUGUGAGUAAAAAUUUAGAAUUUUCAAGUACAUAAAAAGAAAUAAAUGAACCCAACGAAUAUUCAUAGAAGGGAUAAAUAAGAAAAUUAAUUUUCGCAAAAUAAUUUUUAAAGCCAUCAAAGCAUACAAAUGAUAACAAGAAAGAAUAAGAGAAAUGAGUUUUGAUAGAAGUUUUAACCUAAUCACUGCAUCAUAACUUCUGCAUCCAAAGAAGAGAAGAAAUCUUCCCAAGAGCAUAGACAUCUGACAGGCGAU